GCGCUACGAGUGACUCCAGGUGUGCUGAACAGACAGGCAGAAGAAUCCAGCACUAGCAUCAAUACUACUACACUAGAAGAGACCAAUGGAUGAACUAAAUGCAGAGGGCGAUGUCUUGGCCACUGGAUACUGAUGCGCAAAGUAGUUUUGAUGUACACUAUGCAGACCAGCACUACCCCACAGUGUACUAUACUUGAUGAUGAACACAGCUCUCCACAUGAAUCAACACUAACAGGAACCCAGAAAACAAGUAUGCUUAUCAACAAAUAUCUCUCGCCUCCUACGAAAGACAGUGCGUCCACUCCUGGUAGGGUGUGUCAGCUGGUGUUGUGAAUCACCUCUCUCCUUCUAUGAGAGGCAGUGUGUCCACUCCUGGUAGGGUGUGUCAGCUGGUGUUGUGAAUCAGGCCGCUACAGUGCUGAGAACGGCUACUUCACAACACCAGGGUUGCACCCUACUCCUGCCAGCAGCUUCAUACAGACCAACCCCAUUCAUCACUCCUGAGAGAUGCCAGCCUGAUGGUUCACAGUACUUGAAGCUUUCAUUCAAAGCCAGCAAGAGCACACAACGUUCCUAUUUCCAGAACAGUGUUGGUGAGCCAAGGGGACUAAGCUGCAAGCUUGACCUCCUCAAAUUACAGAGCACUCUAGUUCCACAAUAAUAAGUGUAGCAGUGUUCUCUGACAACUGGCUCAGUAAACUGCUCCCCCUGCUGCUUAUAGAUUAGAAAUCCUACUACAUCCAAAAUGUACAGAAGUUUUUAGGUUUCAUUGUUUUCUACUGAUAAAAUCAAAACUUUACUGUAUCUAAAUUAUAAUUAUUUAGUUUUACAGAUUUUCAUCUACAAUUUUUACAAAUAACAUCAAUCAAUUAUCAACACUGUUGGUGCAUACAAUUUUGAUAGAGACACCAUAGGCUUGAUAAAUGUGCUUUGAUACUACUGUAUAUUGCUUAACAUUCUUGUAUGGAUGUCCAUUAUUAAGUGUAAUUGUGAAGUUUAUAGAUGACUAAUUGAAAUGCACCAAAUUGCAACAGCUUUAUGAAUAUCUUGUCUGUCAACAAUACUUAUCUGGAAAAUUGGAUAAAUCCAGUAUU
This is a long non-coding RNA of Polyodon spathula (Mississippi paddlefish), 1094 nucleotides long. RefSeq lists it as uncharacterized. The transcript is spliced from 3 exons. The record is from RefSeq and is a predicted model, not a curated record. NCBI's taxonomy places the organism in Eukaryota, Metazoa, Chordata, Actinopteri, Acipenseriformes, Polyodontidae.